GGUUAAGUUAAUAAGGGCGCACGGUGGAUGCCUUGGCACUAGAAGCCGAUGAAGGACGUGACUAACGACGAAAUGCCUUGGGGAGCUGUAAGUAAGCAAUGAUCCAGGGAUGUCCGAAUGGGGGAACCCGGCAGGUAAUGCCUGUCACUCACUACUGUUAAGGUAGUGUAGAGGAAGACGCAGUGAACUGAAACAUCUAAGUAGCUGCAGGAAGAGAAAGCAAAAGCGAUUGCCUUAGUAGCGGCGAGCGAAACGGCAGGAGGGCAAACCGAGGAGUUUACUCCUCGGGGUUGUAGGACUGCAAUGUGGACUUAAAGAGUAUAGAAGAACUACCUGGGAAGGUAGGCCAAAGAGAGUAAUAGCCUCGUAUUUGAAAUAUUCUUUAUACCUAGCAGUAUCCUGAGUACGGCGAGACACGCGAAAUCUCGUCGGAAUCCGGGAGGACCAUCUCCCAACCCUAAAUACUCUCUAGUGACCGAUAGUGAACCAGUACCGUGAGGGAAAGGUGAAAAGUACCCCGGAAGGGGAGUGAAAUAGAACCUGAAACCGUGUGCCUACAACAAGUUCGAGCCCGUUAAUGGGUGAGAGCGUGCCUUUUGUAGAAUGAACCGGCGAGUUACGAUAUGAUGCGAGGUUAAGUUGAAGAGACGGAGCCGUAGGGAAACCGAGUCUUAAUAGGGCGAGUUAGUAUUAUGUCGUAGACCCGAAACCAUGUGACCUACCCAUGAGCAGGUUGAAGGUGCGGUAAGACGCACUGGAGGACCGAACCAGGGCACGUUGAAAAGUGCUUGGAUGACUUGUGGGUAGCGGAGAAAUUCCAAACGAACUUGGAGAUAGCUGGUUCUCUCCGAAAUAGCUUUAGGGCUAGCGUCGACAUUUGAGAAUCUUGGAGGUAGAGCACUGUUUGGAUGAGGGGGCCAUCUCGGUUUACUGAUUUCAGAUAAACUCCGAAUGCCAAUGAUUUAUGGUCGGCAGUCAGACUGCGAGUGCUAAGAUCCGUAGUCGAAAGGGAAACAGCCCAGACCACCAGCUAAGGUCCCAAAAUAAUUGUUAAGUGGAAAAGGAUGUGGGGUUGCACAGACAACUAGGAUGUUAGCUUAGAAGCAGCUAUUCAUUCAAAGAGUGCGUAAUAGCUCACUAGUCGAGUGACCCUGCGCCGAAAAUGUACCGGGGCUAAAACAAUUUACCGAAGCUGUGGAUAACACAUUAGUGUUAUGGUAGGAGAGCGUUCUAUGUGUGAAGAAGGUAUACCGUGAGGAGUGCUGGAACGCAUAGAAGUGAGAAUGCCGGUAUGAGUAGCGAAAGAUGGGUGAGAAUCCCAUCCACCGUAAGACUAAGGUUUCCAGGGGAAGGCUCGUCCGCCCUGGGUUAGUCGGGACCUAAGGAGAGACCGAAGGGUGUAUCCGAUGGACAACAGGUUGAUAUUCCUGUACUAGAGUAUGAAGUGAUGGAGGGACGCAGUAGGCUAACUAAAGCGGGCGAUUGGAAGUGCCCGUCUAAGCAGUGAGGUGUGAUAUGAGUCAAAUGCUUGUAUCUGUAACAUUGAGCUGUGAUGGGGAGCGAAGUUAAGUAGCGAAGUUGGUGACGUCACACUGCCGAGAAAAGCUUCUAGCGAUGUAUCAUACUCUACCCGUACCGCAAACCGACACAGGUAGUCGAGGCGAGUAGCCUCAGGUGAGCGAGAGAACUCUCGUUAAGGAACUCGGCAAAAUGACCCCGUAACUUCGGGAGAAGGGGUGCUGGCUUAUAGUCAGCCGCAGUGAAUAGGCCCAAGCAACUGUUUAUCAAAAACACAGCUCUCUGCUAAAUCGUAAGAUGAUGUAUAGGGGGUGACGCCUGCCCGGUGCUGGAAGGUUAAGAGGAGGGUUUAGCGCAAGCGAAGAUCUGAAUUGAAGCCCCAGUAAACGGCGGCCGUAACUAUAACGGUCCUAAGGUAGCGAAAUUCCUUGUCGGGUAAGUUCCGACCCGCACGAAAGGCGUAAUGAUUUGGGCACUGUCUCAACGAGAGACUCGGUGAAAUUUUAGUACCUGUGAAGAUGCAGGUUACCCGCGACAGGACGGAAAGACCCCAUGGAGCUUUACUGCAGUUUGAUAUUGAGUAUCUGUACCACAUGUACAGGAUAGGUAGGAGCCUACGAAGUCGGGACGCCAGUUUCGACUGAGGCGCUGUUGGGAUACUACCCUUGUGUUAUGGCUACUCUAACCCGGAUAGGUUAUCCCUAUCGGAGACAGUGUCUGACGGGCAGUUUGACUGGGGCGGUCGCCUCCUAAAAGGUAACGGAGGCGCCCAAAGGUUCCCUCAGAAUGGUUGGAAAUCAUUCG
This 2322-nucleotide ribosomal RNA is filed under the name Streptococcus suis. RNAcentral's name for it is "partial 23S ribosomal RNA". It matches the Rfam family "Bacterial large subunit ribosomal RNA", at positions 1 to 2344 of the family's 2925-position model. Lineage: Bacteria; Bacillati; Bacillota; Bacilli; Lactobacillales; Streptococcaceae. The record is from RNAcentral.